CCUACGGGAGGCAGCAGUGAGGAAUAUUGGUCAAUGGGCGAGAGCCUGAACCAGCCAAGUCGCGUGAAGGAUGACGGCCCUACGGGUUGUAAACUUCUUUUGUCAGGGAGCAAUUGGGUCCACGCGUGGGCUUAGCGAGAGUACCUGAAGACAAAGCAUCGGCUAACUCCGUGCCAGCAGCCGCGGUAAUACGGAGGAUGCGAGCGUUAUCCGGAUUUAUUGGGUUUAAAGGUUGCGUAGGCGGAAUAUCCAGUCAGCGGUAAAAAGUCGGGGCUAAACCCCGUAGGGCCGUUGAAACUGAUGUUAUAGAGUGGGCGAGAAGUAUGCGGAAUGCGUGGUGUAGCGGUGAAAGGCAUAG
This 358-nucleotide ribosomal RNA is filed under the name uncultured bacterium. RNAcentral describes it as "partial 16S ribosomal RNA". It matches the Rfam family "Bacterial small subunit ribosomal RNA", at positions 338 to 693 of the family's 1533-position model. The record is from RNAcentral.